AGAACGCAGCGAAAUGCGAUAAGUAAUGUGAAUUGCAGAAUUCAGUGAAUCAUCGAAUCUUUGAACGCACAUUGCGCCCUCUGGUAUUCCGGGGGGCAUGCCUGUUCGAGCGUCAUUACAACCCUCAAGCUCUGCUUGGUAUUAGGCCUCACCUGCUAAGGCGGGCCUUAAAAUCAGUGGCGGUGCCAUCUGGCUUCAAGCGUAGUAACUUUCUCGCUCAGGAGUACUAGGUGUUUACCUGCCAACAACCCCAAAUUUUUACAGGUUGACCUCGGAUCAGGUAGGGAUACCCGCUGAACUUAAGCAUAUCAAUAAGCGGAGGAAAAGAAACCAACAGGGAUUACCUCAGUAACGGCGAGUGAAGCGGUAACAGCUCAAAUUUGAAAUCUGGCCUUUUAGGUCCGAGUUGUAAUUUGUAGAGGAUGUUUCGAACGUGGUCCGGUCUAAGUUCCUUGGAACAGGACGUCAUAGAGGGUGAGAAUCCCGUAUGCGACUGGGUGCCUAAGUUCAUGUGAAACUCCUUCGACGAGUCGAGUUGUUUGGGAAUGCAGCUCAAAAUGGGUGGUAAAUUUCAUCUAAAGCUAAAUAUUGGCCAGAGACCGAUAGCGCACAAGUAGAGUGAUCGAAAGAUGAAAAGCACUUUGGAAAGAGAGUUAAACAGUACGUGAAAUUGUUGAAAGGGAAGCGCUUGCAACCAGACUUGCAUGCAGUUGAUCAUCCGAUGUUCUCACCGGUGCACUCGAUUGUAUUCAGGCCAGCAUCGGUUUAGGUGGUUGGAAAAAAGCCCUAGGAAUGUAGCUUCUCUCGGGGAGUGUUAUAGCCUGAGGUAUAAUGCAGCCUACCUGGACCGAGGACCGCGCUUCGGCUAGGAUGCUGGCGUAAUGGUUGUAAGCGACCCGUCUUGAAACACGG
Molecule: ribosomal RNA, 912 nt
Filed under: uncultured fungus
Lineage: Eukaryota; Fungi
Description: eukaryotic LSU rRNA
Rfam family: Eukaryotic large subunit ribosomal RNA (bases 267-912)
Source: RNAcentral